This 301-nucleotide ribosomal RNA is filed under the name uncultured bacterium. RNAcentral describes it as "partial 16S ribosomal RNA". It matches the Rfam family "Bacterial small subunit ribosomal RNA", at positions 509 to 808 of the family's 1533-position model. The record is from RNAcentral.
CAGUAGCCGCGGUAAUACGUAUGUCACGAGCGUUAUCCGGAUUUAUUGGGCGUAAAGCGCGUCUAGGUGGUUAUAUAAGUCUGAUGUGAAAAUGCAGGGCUCAACUCUGUAUUGCGUUGGAAACUGUAUAACUAGAGUACUGGAGAGGUAAGCGGAACUACAAGUGUAGAGGUGAAAUUCGUAGAUAUUUGUAGGAAUGCCGAUGGGGAAGCCAGCUUACUGGACAGAUACUGACGCUGAAGCGCGAAAGCGUGGGUAGCAAACAGGAUUAGAUACCCCCGUAGUCCCUGUCUCUUAUACA